UACGUAGGGGGCGAGCGUUGUCCGGAGUUACUGGGCGUAAAGGGCGCGUAGGCGGUUGAGCGCGUGUCCGGUGCCAGCUGGUUGCUUAACGACCAGAGUGCCGGGCAGACGGCUUGACUGGAGGGCCGCAGAGGGACAUAGAAUUCCGGGUGGAGUGGUGAAAUGCGUAGAGAUCCGGAGGAAUACCAAUGGCGAAGGCAGUGUCCUGGACGGCACCUGACGCUGAGGCGCGAAAGCCAGGGGAG
Molecule: ribosomal RNA, 245 nt
Filed under: uncultured bacterium
Lineage: Bacteria
Description: partial 16S ribosomal RNA
Rfam family: Bacterial small subunit ribosomal RNA
Source: RNAcentral